This 206-nucleotide long non-coding RNA is filed under the name Vitis vinifera (wine grape). Its description in RNAcentral is "long non-coding RNA (VVIN_LNC002857)". The record is from RNAcentral. Lineage: Eukaryota; Viridiplantae; Streptophyta; Magnoliopsida; Vitales; Vitaceae.
CAGAAUUCAGAAAGUAGGAGAUAGAGGACAUACCUGGAUAGCAUAGAUAAUUUGUAACGUGCUUCCUCAAGUUGUAAGGGGUUAGAUAACAAAUAAUAAAAUAUAGAAAUCCUAGCAUGCUCAUUAUCUAAUUAGCAUAGCAAAAGUGAUCAAAGUAUACAGAAUCAUCAAUUAUCACAUACAUCUUGUAUAUAAUUCCUAAAAAA